GUUUAUACGUAAAAAUGUAUAAUCUGGCCUGCCCACUGAAUUUUUUAAAGGGCCGCGGUAAUUUGACCGUGCGAAGGUAGCAUAAUAAAUAGUCUUUUAAUUGGAGGCUUGUAUGAAAGGUUGGACGAGAGGAAAGCUGUCUUUAAAAUGAAUAUUGAAUUUUACCUUUAAGUGAAAAGUCUUAAAUGCAUUUAAGGGACGAUAAGACCCUGUAAAACUUAACAAGGCUCCUAUGUCUUAAAAAUAUGAGUUUAAGCUUAGUCUAAAGGGUUCUUGUUUGGUUGGGGCGACUAGAAUAUAAUAAUAUAGUAACUGUUCAGUAUAAUAAAUAGUAAUAACUUGGUAAUAUGACCCUUUAUUAAGGAUUAAAAGAUAAAGUUACUUCAGGGAUAACAGCGUAAUUUUUUUUGAGAGUUCUUAUCGACAAAAGUAGUUGCGACCUCGAUGUUGAAUUAAAAUUUCUUUCAAAUGUAGCAGUUUGAUCAGUAGGUCUGUUCGACCUUUAAAAUUUU
Molecule: ribosomal RNA, 512 nt
Filed under: Tozeuma carolinense (arrow shrimp)
Lineage: Eukaryota; Metazoa; Arthropoda; Malacostraca; Decapoda; Hippolytidae
Description: partial 16S ribosomal RNA
Rfam family: Bacterial large subunit ribosomal RNA
Source: RNAcentral